AUUGAACGCUGGCGGCAGGCUUAACACAUGCAAGUCGAGCGGGGUGAUGGUGCUUGCACUAUCACUUAGCGGCGGACGGGUGAGUAAUGCUUAGGAAUCUGCCUAUUAGUGGGGGACAACAUCUCGAAAGGGAUGCUAAUACCGCAUACGUCCUACGGGAGAAAGCAGGGGAUCACUUGUGACCUUGCGCUAAUAGAUGAGCCUAAGUCGGAUUAGCUAGUUGGUGGGGUAAAGGCCUACCAAGGCGACGAUCUGUAGCGGGUCUGAGAGGAUGAUCCGCCACACUGGGACUGAGACACGGCCCAGACUCCUACGGGAGGCAGCAGUGGGGAAUAUUGGACAAUGGAGGGAACCCUGAUCCAGCCAUGCCGCGUGUGUGAAGAAGGCCCUAUGGUUGUAAAGCACUUUAAGCGAGGAGGAGGCUCUUUUGGUUAAUACCCAAGAUGAGUGGACGUUACUCGCUGAAUAAGCACCGGCUAACUCUGUGCCAGCCGCCGCCGUAA
Molecule: ribosomal RNA, 503 nt
Filed under: uncultured bacterium
Lineage: Bacteria
Description: partial 16S ribosomal RNA
Rfam family: Bacterial small subunit ribosomal RNA
Source: RNAcentral